AGAGUUGAUUAUGGCUCAGAACGAACGCUGGCGGCGCGUCUUAAGCAUGCAAGUCGAACGGCAAGGAUGGUAGCUUGCUACUAUCCCUAGAGUGGCGGACUGGUGAGUAACACGUGGGUGACCUACCCUCGAGAUGGGGAUAGCCAUUAGAAAUAGUGGAUAAUACCGAAUACGCUCUACGGACUCUGGUUUGUAGAGGAAACAGGCUACGGCCUGGCUCGAGGAUGGGCCCGCGUCCCAUUAGCUAGUUGGUGAGGUAAGAGCCCACCAAGGCGACGAUGGGUAUCCGGCCUGAGAGGGUGUACGGACACAUUGGGACUGAGAUACGGCCCAAACUCCCACGGGAGGCAGCAGCUAAGAAUAUUCCGCAAUGGACGAAAGUCUGACGGAGCGACGCCGCGUGGAUGACGAAGGCCGAAAGGUUGUAAAAUCCUUUUGCUGAUGAAGAAUAAGCGUGGUAGGGAAUGACCGCGUGAUGACAUUAGUCGGUGAAUAAGCCCCGGCUAACUACGUGCCAGCAGCGGC
Molecule: ribosomal RNA, 525 nt
Filed under: uncultured bacterium
Lineage: Bacteria
Description: bacterial SSU rRNA
Rfam family: Bacterial small subunit ribosomal RNA
Source: RNAcentral